RNAcentral lists this long non-coding RNA (1011 nucleotides) under Sarcophilus harrisii (Tasmanian devil). Its description in RNAcentral is "lncRNA (ENSSHAG00000028036.1)". The record is from RNAcentral. Lineage: Eukaryota; Metazoa; Chordata; Mammalia; Dasyuromorphia; Dasyuridae.
AUGAAUAGGUCUGAUCAUAUCAUUUUUAUCCAAUAUUCCCAUUUGUUUCCUAUGGCAUUUAAAACCCUUCACAAUAUGGCUUUAACUAAUCUUUGCAUUACUUCCUUUCAUAAAUUUUAUUUUCCAGUGAAACUACUAGAUCAUCCCAGAAUGUCAUUCCAACUCCCAUUUUUGUUCCCUUCCAUAGAGAAAAAUUGGACUGUCCUGAAAGAAUAUUCCCUGGGAACAUACUAAUCUUUCUGUCACAUUCAAGUUGCUCCACUUGCUGACCCAGAGGAUUUCUCUGAUGUAAGCUAUCAAAAUAUAUUACUCCAAUUAUAAAUCUACUUUGUUCCUUAGCAUUGUGCAGAAUACCCCUUAUACAAAUACCUGAAUGCACACUCACAUGUUGAUUUCAUCAUUUUUAUUCACCAAUAUAGUUUUAUGUACGUUUGACUUUUUUUAUAUUAUCAUUUCUUAGAGAACUUGACAUAUAGAUACUCGUAUGUCUCUUAUAAGACUUUUAUUAUAAUGACAUAUGAAAUUAGCACUUAAAUAUUUUUAAUGAUGCUAAAUUUCAAUUGCUUCCUACUUAAAAUGAAGGAAAGGCUGUCAAAUGUCCUAAUUCUGACUAUUGCUUUCCCUUUUCUACACAUUAGAUAAGGUUAAAAAGAACAUGAACAAAUCAUUUUUCCAAGCUCCAAAUGGAGAUGGGAACAAAUAGAAAGACUGUAGGCCGGUGAAGUCAAAAGCUUUGAAAUCAGAGUCAAAGGCUGUGGUUUCAUAUCCUGGGUCUGCCACUUACUCUUUGUAUGAAUAAAUUAAGCAAAUUAUGUUACCUAUCUGGAAUUUAGUUUCUUCUCCAUUAAAAAAUGAGGGGAUUAGAUGAUCUCUAAGGUCUUCCUCAUUUCCUUUUUUUUUUUUUUUUUUUUUAAUUUAAUAGCCUUUUAUUUACAGGAUUUAUACAUGGGUAACUUUACAGCAUUAACAAUUGCCAAACCUCUUGUUCCAAUUUUUCACCUCUUACCCCCA